UGUUCUCCUACCUUCCCAUUUAUUUUGUGCCUUUUUUUCCCAGUUCAUUCUUCCUCGGCGAGGGGCGGACCUUGAGGCACACCUGCAGCUAAUCAGUCCAUGGACUAUUUAAGCUUGGCACAGACAGCUGUGCCUUGCUGGUUAUUGUUCCCUGUUCCUUCCACGUCGCAUGCGUUUGCUUGACCUCCAAGUCCGGCAGACAGAGGGCGGGUGCAGGCAAACACUUCCUCUCUCCACGAAGUUACCUCCUGUCUCUGGGAAUCCAUUUCCUGUUCGCUGUUACUACAACAGCACUUAACAGCAUUCUCCUGGACCUGGAGUGUUUGCAGGGCAUUUGGUGCGAGCGGCACUCAGAAUGUCUUCCUCUGAAGGUAUAAAGAAGUCUGCCAUGAUCAUCACCAUGUUUGUUUAUAUUGUGAGCUCCGGUGAGCUUAGUGGAAGUUACAACCGCC
Long non-coding RNA from Entelurus aequoreus (snake pipefish), 452 nucleotides. RefSeq lists it as uncharacterized. NCBI's taxonomy places the organism in Eukaryota, Metazoa, Chordata, Actinopteri, Syngnathiformes, Syngnathidae. The transcript has 3 exons. The record is from RefSeq and is a predicted model, not a curated record.